Molecule: ribosomal RNA, 253 nt
Filed under: uncultured bacterium
Lineage: Bacteria
Description: partial 16S ribosomal RNA
Rfam family: Bacterial small subunit ribosomal RNA
Source: RNAcentral
UACGUAGGGGGCAAGCGUUGUCCGGAAUCAUUGGGCGUAAAGAGCGUGUAGGCUGCCCGAUAAGUCCGCUGUGAAAGUCCAGGGCUCAACCCUGGGAUGCCGGUGGAUACUGUCGGGCUCGAGUCCGGAAGAGGAGUGUGGAAUUCCUGGUGUAGCGGUGAAAUGCGCAGAUAUCAGGAGGAACACCAAUGGCGAAGGCAGCACUCUGGGACGUGACUGACGCUGAGACGCGAAAGCGUGGGGAGCAAACAGG